ACAUCAUUGUGGGUUUGGGUUACCUGGUCUAUCAGUCAGCUCGGGCUGACAUAACAAAAUACCGCAGACGGUCGGUUUAAACAACAGAAACUUACUUCUCACAGUUCUGGAGGCUGGAAGUCCAGGCCAAGGUGCCGGCAAGUUGUACAGAAUUGGUACUACAAGCACACCUCGGAGAUAUUGCAGGUUUCCAGACCACCACAAUAAAACGAAUAUCACAAUAAAGGGAGUCACAAAUCUUUUGGUUUCCCUGUGUAUAAAAGUUAUGUUUACACUGUACCGUAGUCUAUUAAGUG
RNAcentral lists this long non-coding RNA (296 nucleotides) under Equus caballus (horse). RNAcentral describes it as "lncRNA (ENSECAG00000048495.1)". The record is from RNAcentral. Lineage: Eukaryota; Metazoa; Chordata; Mammalia; Perissodactyla; Equidae.